RNAcentral lists this ribosomal RNA (253 nucleotides) under uncultured bacterium. RNAcentral describes it as "partial 16S ribosomal RNA". It matches the Rfam family "Bacterial small subunit ribosomal RNA", at positions 524 to 776 of the family's 1533-position model. The record is from RNAcentral.
UACGGAGGGUGCGAGCGUUGUCCGGAAUCACUGGGCGUAAAGGGCGCGUAGGCGGCGCGGAUAGUCGGCGGUGAAAGCCCGGAGCUCAACUCCGGGUCGGCCGUCGAUACUUCCGGGCUUGAGCACUGUAGAGGCAGAUGGAAUUCCGGGUGUAGCGGUGGAAUGCGUAGAGAUCCGGAAGAACACCGGUGGCGAAGGCGGCCUGCUGGGCAGUAGCUGACGCUGAUGCGCGACAGCGUGGGGAGCAAACAGG